RNAcentral lists this ribosomal RNA (120 nucleotides) under Aegilops tauschii subsp. strangulata. The record is from RNAcentral. Lineage: Eukaryota; Viridiplantae; Streptophyta; Magnoliopsida; Poales; Poaceae.
GGAUGCGAUCAUACCAGCACUAAAGCACCGGAUCCCAUCAGAACUCCGAAGUUAAGCGUGCUUGGGCGAGAGUGUAGUACUAGAUGGGUGACCUCCUGCAAAGUCCUCGUGUUGCAUUCC